UACGGAGGGGGCUAGCGUUGUUCGGAAUUACUGGGCGUAAAGCGCACGUAGGCGGCUUUGUAAGUUAGAGGUGAAAGCCCGGAGCUCAACUCCGGAACUGCCUUUAAGACUGCAUCGCUUGAACGUCGGAGAGGUAAGUGGAAUUCCGAGUGUAGAGGUGAAAUUCGUAGAUAUUCGCAAGAACACCAGUGGCGAAGGCGGCUCACUGGCCCGGUACUGACGCUGAGGUGCGAAAGCGUGGGGAGCAAACAGG
This 253-nucleotide ribosomal RNA is filed under the name uncultured bacterium. Its description in RNAcentral is "partial 16S ribosomal RNA". It matches the Rfam family "Bacterial small subunit ribosomal RNA", at positions 524 to 776 of the family's 1533-position model. The record is from RNAcentral.